Molecule: ribosomal RNA, 253 nt
Filed under: uncultured bacterium
Lineage: Bacteria
Description: partial 16S ribosomal RNA
Rfam family: Bacterial small subunit ribosomal RNA
Source: RNAcentral
UACGUAGGGAGCAAGCGUUGUUCGGAUUUACUGGGCGUAAAGGGCGCGUAGGCGGCAAUUCAAGUCAUCUGUGAAAUCUCCGGGCUUAACCCGGAGCGGCCAAGUGAUACUGUCGUGCUAGAGUGCGGAAGGGGCUACUGGAAUUCUCGGUGUAGCGGUGAAAUGCGUAGAUAUCGAGAGGAACACCUGCGGCGAAGGCGGGUAGCUGGGCCGACACUGACGCUGAGGCGCGAAAGCCAGGGGAGCGAACGGG